AGGGCACCACCAGGAGUGGAGCCUGCGGCUUAAUUUGACUCAACACGGGAAAACUUACCCGGCCCGGACACUGGAAGGAUUGACAGAUUGAGAGCUCUUUCUUGAUUCAGUGGGUGGUGGUGCAUGGCCGUUCUUAGUUGGUGGAGCGAUCUGUCUGGUUAAUUCCGAUAACGAACGAGACUCUAGCCUAUUAAAUAGACGUCGGGUUCUCUGCACUCGACGGUCUUCUUAGAGGGACAAGGUGCUUUUAGCACCGCAAAACAGAGCAAUAACAGGUCUGUGAUGCCCUUAGAUGUCCGGGGCCGCACGCGCGCUACACUGGAGGAAUCAGCGUGCUUGACCCAUUGCCGAAAGGCAUUGGUAAACCCUUGAAAAUCCUCCGUGAUCGGGAUCGGGAAUUGCAAUUAUUUCCCUUGAACGAGGAAUUCCCAGUAAGUGUGAGUCAUCAGCUCACGUUGAUUACGUCCCUGCCCUUUGUACACACCGCCCGUCGCUGCCCGGGACUGAGCCGUUUCGAGA
This 519-nucleotide ribosomal RNA is filed under the name uncultured eukaryote. Its description in RNAcentral is "bacterial SSU rRNA". It matches the Rfam family "Eukaryotic small subunit ribosomal RNA", at positions 1161 to 1704 of the family's 1831-position model. The record is from RNAcentral.